UACGUAGGUGGCGAGCGUUAUCCGGAUUUAUUGGGCGUAAAGAGUGCGCAGGCGGUUUGUUAAGUCUAAGAUAAAAGCCCGGAGCUUAACUUCGGUUCGUCUUAGAAACUGGCAGACUUGAGUAUGGUAGAGGCAAAUGGAAUUCCUAGUGUAGCGGUGGAAUGCGUAGAUAUUAGGAGGAACACCAGUGGCGAAGGCGGUUUGCUGGGCCAUUACUGACGCUCAUGCACGAAAGCGUGGGGAGCAAAUAG
RNAcentral lists this ribosomal RNA (251 nucleotides) under uncultured bacterium. RNAcentral describes it as "partial 16S ribosomal RNA". It matches the Rfam family "Bacterial small subunit ribosomal RNA", at positions 524 to 775 of the family's 1533-position model. The record is from RNAcentral.